RNAcentral lists this transfer RNA (64 nucleotides) under Canis lupus familiaris (dog). The record is from Rfam by way of RNAcentral. Lineage: Eukaryota; Metazoa; Chordata; Mammalia; Carnivora; Canidae. RNAcentral also lists the same sequence under 1 other name.
UCCUGGGUGGCUCAGCGGUUGAGCGCCUGCCUUUGACGCAGGGUGUGACCUGAAGCCCCGGGAU